AUUGAACGCUGGCGGCAGGCCUAACACAUGCAAGUCGAGCGGAUGAAGGGAGCUUGCUCCUGGAUUCAGCGGCGGACGGGUGAGUAAUGCCUAGGAAUCUGCCUGGUAGUGGGGGAUAACGUCCGGAAACGGGCGCUAAUACCGCAUACGUCCUGAGGGAGAAAGUGGGGGAUCUUCGGACCUCACGCUAUCAGAUGAGCCUAGGUCGGAUUAGCUAGUUGGUGGGGUAAAGGCCUACCAAGGCGACGAUCCGUAACUGGUCUGAGAGGAUGAUCAGUCACGCUGAAACUGAGACACGGUCCACUCCUACGGGAGGCAGCAGUGGGGAAUAUUGGACAAUGGGCGAAAGUCUGAUCCAGCCAGGCCGCGUGUGUGAAGAAGGUCUUCGGAUUGUAAAGCACUUUAAGUUGGGAGGAAGGGCAGUAAGUUAAUACCUUGCUGUUUUGACGUUACCAACAGAAUAAGCACCGGCUAACUUCGUG
RNAcentral lists this ribosomal RNA (482 nucleotides) under uncultured bacterium. RNAcentral describes it as "partial 16S ribosomal RNA". It matches the Rfam family "Bacterial small subunit ribosomal RNA", at positions 30 to 507 of the family's 1533-position model. The record is from RNAcentral.